Molecule: non-coding RNA, 889 nt
Filed under: Trichomonas vaginalis G3
Lineage: Eukaryota; Parabasalia; Trichomonadida; Trichomonadidae
Description: Eukaryotic small subunit ribosomal RNA
Rfam family: Eukaryotic small subunit ribosomal RNA
Source: Rfam by way of RNAcentral
UCGGGGGGUAGAUCUAUCUCAUGACGAGUGGUGGAAUACUUUGACUCAUGAGAGAGAAGCUGAGGCGAAGGCGUCUACCUAGAGGGUUUCUGUCGAUCAAGGGCGAGAGUAGGAGUAUCCAACAGGAUUAGAGACCCUGGUAGUUCCUACCUUAAACGAUGCCGACAGGAGUUUGUCAUUUGUUAAUGGCAGAAUCUUUGGAGAAAUCAUAGUUCUUGGGCUCUGGGGGAACUACGACCGCAAGGCUGAAACUUGAAGGAAUUGACGGAAGGGCACACCAGGGGUGGAGCCUGUGGCUUAAUUUGAAUCAACACGGGGAAACUUACCAGGACCAGAUGUUUUUUAUGACUGACAGGCUUCGGGUCUUUCAGGAUAUUGUUUUUGGUGGUGCAUGGCCGUUGGUGGUGCGUGGGUUGACCUGUCUAGCGUUGAUUCAGCUAACGAGCGAGAUUAUCGCCAAUUAUUUACUUUGCCGAAGUCCUUCGGUUAAAGUUCUAAUUGGGACUCCCUGCGAUUUUAGCAGGUGGAAGAGGGUAGCAAUAACAGGUCCGUGAUGCCCUUUAGAUGCUCUGGGCUGCACGCGUGCUACAAUGUUAGGAUCAAUAGGACUGCGAGCCUGAGAGGGUGCGCUACUCUUAUAAUCCCUAACGUAGUUGGGAUUGACGUUUGUAAUCAGCGUCAUGAACCAGGAAUCCCUUGUAAAUGUGUGUCAACAACGCACGUUGAAUACGUCCCUGCCCUUUGUACACACCGCCCGUCGCUCCUACCGAUUGGAUGACUCGGUGAAAUCACCGGAUGCUUACGAGCAGAAAGUGAUUAAAUCACGUUAUCUAGAGGAAGGAGAAGUCGUAACAAGGUAACGGUAGGUGAACCUGCCGUUGGAUCAGUU